RNAcentral lists this ribosomal RNA (622 nucleotides) under uncultured bacterium. RNAcentral describes it as "bacterial SSU rRNA". It matches the Rfam family "Bacterial small subunit ribosomal RNA", at positions 338 to 943 of the family's 1533-position model. The record is from RNAcentral.
CCUACGGGAGGCAGCAGUGGGGAAUAUUGGACAAUGGGCGGAAGCCUGAUCCAGCCAUGCCGCGUGUGUGAAGAAGGCCUUUUGGUUGUAAAGCACUUUAAGUCGAGGAGGAAGCUACUAGUAUUAAUACUACUGGAUAGUGGACGUUACUCGCAGAAUAAGCACCGGCUAACUCUGUGCCAGCAGCCGCGGUAAUACAGAGGGUGCGAGCGUUAAUCGGAUUUACUGGGCGUAAAGCGUGCGUAGGCGGCUCGAUUAAGUCGGAUGUGAAAUCCCUGAGCUUAACUUAGGAAUUGCAUUCGAUACUGGUCAGCUAGAGUAUGGGAGAGGAUGGUAGAAUUCCAGGUGUAGCGGUGAAAUGCGUAGAGAUCUGGAGGAAUACCGAUGGCGAAGGCAGCCAUCUGGCCUAAUACUGACGCUGAGGUACGAAAGCAUGGGGAGCAAACAGGAUUAGAUACCCUGGUAGUCCAUGCCGUUAAACGAUGUCUACUAGCCGUUGGGGUCUUUGAGACUUUAGUGGCGCAGCUAACGCGAAUAAGUAGAACCGCCUGGGGAGUACGGUCGCGAAGACUAAAACUCAAAAUUGAAAUUGACGGNNGAGAGNGCAGAGACANAGGGAGAG